Molecule: ribosomal RNA, 253 nt
Filed under: uncultured bacterium
Lineage: Bacteria
Description: partial 16S ribosomal RNA
Rfam family: Bacterial small subunit ribosomal RNA
Source: RNAcentral
UACGUAGGGUGCGAGCGUUGUCCGGAAUUAUUGGGCGUAAAGCGCACGUAGGCGGUUUGUUAAGUCGGAUGUGAAAUCCCUCGGCUCAACUGAGGAAGUGCAUCCGAAACUGGCAGGCUUGAGUACUAAAGAGGGUCGCGGAAUUCCCGGUGUAGAGGUGAAAUUCGUAGAUAUCGGGAGGAACACCGGUGGCGAAGGCGGCGACCUGGGUAGAUACUGACGCUGAGGUGCGAAAGCGUGGGGAGCAAACAGG